Molecule: ribosomal RNA, 557 nt
Filed under: uncultured bacterium
Lineage: Bacteria
Description: bacterial SSU rRNA
Rfam family: Bacterial small subunit ribosomal RNA
Source: RNAcentral
ACGGGUGAGUAACGCGUGGGAACGUGCCUUUCGGUUCGGAAUAAUUCAGGGAAACUUGGACUAAUACCGGAUACGCCCUUCGGGGGAAAGAUUUAUCGCCGAAAGAUCGGCCCGCGUCUGAUUAGCUAGUUGGUGAGGUAAAGGCUCACCAAGGCGACGAUCAGUAGCUGGUCUGAGAGGAUGAUCAGCCACAUUGGGACUGAGACACGGCCCAAACUCCUACGGGAGGCAGCAGUGGGGAAUAUUGGACAAUGGGCGCAAGCCUGAUCCAGCCAUGCCGCGUGAGUGAUGAAGGCCUUAGGGUUGUAAAGCUCUUUUGUCCGGGAAGAUAAUGACUGUACCGGAAGAAUAAGCCCCGGCUAACUUCGUGCCAGCAGCCGCGGUAAUACGAAGGGGGCUAGCGUUGCUCGGAAUCACUGGGCGUAAAGGGCGCGUAGGCGGACUUUUAAGUCGGAGGUGAAAGCCCAGGGCUCAACCCUGGAAUUGCCUUCGAUACUGGGAGUCUUGAGUUCGGAAGAGGUUGGUGGAACUGCGAGUGUAGAGGUGAAAUUCGUAGA